GUUUGAUCGGCAUCGCCUCUAAACGACUUGUGUUCUUCGGUUCUUCUCACCUUAACAACAACGCCGCAUGUCUUGAGCCGAACUGCCGUCUCCAAAUCUCUCUCCUUCUCACUUUUCAGACGAAACUUGUCCAGGUUGUUAUCAUGGCUCCAAUUAGGAAGUAUCCUUCUGGGGCUAAAAAAAGAAAAGAGAAGCAAAAAAGAGAUGCAUUAGUCAAGCUUCAAGUUGGGUCUCUACGUAAGUACUUUAAUACACAUAGUGAACAACUACAUGAGAAUGAGACCGAGACU
Rosa chinensis is the source of this 290-nucleotide long non-coding RNA. RefSeq lists it as uncharacterized. The transcript is spliced from 2 exons. NCBI's taxonomy places the organism in Eukaryota, Viridiplantae, Streptophyta, Magnoliopsida, Rosales, Rosaceae. The record is from RefSeq and is a predicted model, not a curated record.